CCUACGGGUGGCAGCAGUGAGGAAUAUUGGUCAAUGGACGAGAGUCUGAACCAGCCAAGUAGCGUGAAGGAUGACUGCCCUAUGGGUUGUAAACUUCUUUUAUAUGGGAAUAAAACGUUCCACGUGUGGGAUUUUGUAUGUACCAUAUGAAUAAGGAUCGGCUAACUCCGUGCCAGCAGCCGCGGUAAUACGGAGGAUCCGAGCGUUAUCCGGAUUUAUUGGGUUUAAAGGGAGCGUAGGUGGAUUGUAAAGUCAGUUGUGAAAGUUUGCGGCUCAACCGUAAAAUUGCAGUUGAAACUGGCAGUCUUGAGUACAGUAGAGGUGGGCGGAAUUCGUGGUGUAGCGGUGAAAUGCUUAGAUAUCACGAAGAACUCCGAUUGCGAAGGCAGUUCACUGGACUGCAACUGACACUGAGGCUCGAAAGUGUGGGUAUCAAACAGGAUUAGAUACCCCUGUAGUC
This 460-nucleotide ribosomal RNA is filed under the name uncultured bacterium. Its description in RNAcentral is "partial 16S ribosomal RNA". It matches the Rfam family "Bacterial small subunit ribosomal RNA", at positions 338 to 795 of the family's 1533-position model. The record is from RNAcentral.